AUAAAAAGUUGAGGAAACCUAUGUAAAUUAAUCUUUUUGUAUGAAAUGCUAAUUAAAUAUAAAAAUAUAUAUUGAUGCAAUAAUACAACGAAGAGAUCACUAUAUUUGCUUUUUGUCUAUCACGCCAUUUUCAUUGCAUAUCGAUAUGACAAGAAUUAUCGAUUCGCGGUAGACAGUUCGAUAGUGACAUCUUCAGCCAGGAAGUAAAUAUUGAGUACAAAUGCAUCUGUGAUAUUCUGAAAGGAUUAUUGUUCAUUUUAUUUGGUUUAUCUUUAUAGAGUUUUGUUUAAAUUUAAACAAAUAUACUUUAUAUUACAAGCAUCCAAACACAUUGUGAUGGAUACAAAUGAUGAAGGCAGGUCUUCUACGUUUACGCUUGUGGUACAUGGAAAAGAAGCGUUCUUUCACGCGGAUCAAAGGAGGACUUUAAAGAUCAAGUGAUCGGAGGAUCGUUAAAUCGAUCGAGCAGUACUACUGACAAUGAGUAGUAACGAGUCGAGCGAUGAUUCAGUGCUGUAGCACCGAUAGCCAGUCGAGCGGGACUCAUUAUUUCAACCAUAACUCCCAAGAUAUGUUAAAAUACAAUCUCGAUCAUAGCAGCGACGCUUGAUUAUACGACAGAAGAAGAUAUGCAUAUGUUGAAAAUGUUAAGGACGCAUCUAUCCUUUUUAAUUAACUAAACAGAAAAGUUCAAGAUAUUUUCCUUUUAACUUUUUUCUUAUCAAACUGUAAAAGUUCAAAAAUCUUUCAAAUGCGUUCUUUUGUAAUUUACAUAAAAAUAUCAAAAGUUGAUAACAGUUGUAAUAUUAUAAGAUGAAUUCGACUAGAUCAGAAAUUAUAAUGUACUUGAAAUUUUGUGUAUGAAACUAUUUUUUUCUUUUUAUAUAUAUAUUAUAUUACUCUUUAAAUUCUUUUAAUCUAAUCACCUAAAAAUAUCAGGGCGGAUCUGAGAUAAAUCAAAAUGUAUUUGCGUUUAAAUAUUAAUAAGAAAGAUAAUAAGACAAGAUCUGAGAAAAAAAAGUAGAACCAACUCGGUAUUUUAUCCAGUAUGUCUUAACGUUCUUCGCUGUUGCAAAAUCUCAUUUGUUGCAUGUCUCGACUGGAGGUUGGCUAAAGAGUGAUCCGUCUUGAGAAUGGACUGACAAAACGUUUCCGUGGUUUGCCGUAAUAGUGGAAAAAUAAGAUACAUACGCAGAAGAGCCAACAUAAUGCAUUACUUCAAUCUAUCUUUAUCGAAACUUUGACUACUAUAAAAAGUUAAUCGUUUGAUAGAAAAUAGUAAACUUUUAUAAUCCACUUCAUUUUUCUUUAUUGUGCAUAAAUUUAACAAUUUGAAUGAAAUCAAUGAAAAACAAUAAUAAAAUUAGAAAGGCAAAUAAAGUGUUGUAAAUAAAAUAAAAUAAAAGUUGACGAAUUGUUUAAUUGAAUUGAAUUGAAAAAACAUAAAGUAAAGAAAAAAAAUGUAGAAACUUCAUUGUCUUAAAUAUGAAUAUAGUGGGAACAAUUCGAGCUACAGAAUAACGUGAAUUAAACGUAUGGAUUGUAAAUCUAUAUAAAAGAAUGUCUUCUUUACUCGACUUGACCCUCAAAAGUUGAGUAAGAAAUUCAUGUCUUCGUCCUCCCACGCACCGGAAUUAUCUUAGAGAAUGAAAAUACACUCUAUGUACCUAUAUAAAGAGGCUAUCGAUACUACUUAAUAUCUUGAGUAUAAAACAAAUGUUUUUAAUACAAAUUUUUGAUUGCAAUAAGGAGAAUGAAACAUUUAAAAUACAUUACUUAUACAAGAGAAUAUGUGAGUUCUCGAUAUUUCAAUAGACUAUCUAAUAGUAAUCUCAUAAUACAUUUGUUAUUAUAAUGAACACAUAGAGAAAAAAAUCUUUUUGUCUAUUUUCAAUUUGUAUAUCUUUAAUAA
This is a long non-coding RNA of Vespula vulgaris, 1912 nucleotides long. RefSeq lists it as uncharacterized. NCBI's taxonomy places the organism in Eukaryota, Metazoa, Arthropoda, Insecta, Hymenoptera, Vespidae. The transcript is spliced from 3 exons. The record is from RefSeq and is a predicted model, not a curated record.